Molecule: transfer RNA, 76 nt
Filed under: Clostridiales bacterium
Lineage: Bacteria; Bacillati; Bacillota; Clostridia; Eubacteriales
Description: tRNA-Val
Rfam family: tRNA
About the family: Transfer RNA (tRNA) molecules are approximately 80 nucleotides in length.
Source: RNAcentral
GGAGGCAUAGCUCAGCCGGUAGAGCACUUGCUUCACACGCAAGGGGUCGGGGAUUCGAGUUCCUCUGUCUCCACCA